AGCAACCCUUGUUCUGGGAAUCUGGGUUGAGAAUCUGCAUGAAUUAUAUGAACACUGUCUACAGCGAGGCGGUGCACGAACACUUUGAACAUUCACACACUUAUGCAUAUCGUGGUAAAUGAACAUGCUAAUAGUGUGUGUUAGUUUCUUUCAGGAGAAAUAAACUCACAGAUGACAACAAGUCUGCCUCAUGAAGAACUCACCUGAAAUGGUUUUCCAACAAUCUUGAACGAGUUCCUGAAGUCACCAGCAGUGUCACCAGCACAGCACCCACACACCAUCACACCUUCUCCCUGCUCCACAGUGGAAACCACACAUUCAGGAACUGUCUGUUCUACAAAGAAAUGGUAGGUAGAGCCAAAAAUCUCAAAUUGGUAAUCAUCAGAACAAAGGAGAGUUUUCCACUGAUCAAAUGUCGAUUCCUUGUGGUUCUUGGCACAAGCAAGUCUCUUUUGCUUGUUGUUCUUCAGAAGUAAUGGAUUCUUUACCGAGACUCAUGCAGGCUUCCCUGAACAGUGGAUGUUGAAAUAUGUCUGCUGUUUGAACUCC
This is a long non-coding RNA of Clarias gariepinus (North African catfish), 549 nucleotides long. RefSeq lists it as uncharacterized. The transcript has 3 exons. The record is from RefSeq and is a predicted model, not a curated record. Lineage: Eukaryota; Metazoa; Chordata; Actinopteri; Siluriformes; Clariidae.